AGAGUCCUCUCCCUGUAACCCAGAAUGUUUGCACGUCCCACCCGCGCUUUGCCCAGCUCCUCACUGUCCUUGGACUUCCCUGGAGAACGUAGAACUGAUGUGCACUGUUGGCUCCUGUUGUGCUGCACAGGCCUCCGUACAAACGGAACUCAAGGGUUAGUCUUUGUGACUCGUGAGGUGACUACACUAACACCUGGUGUUGAUAAGAUGGCAUGAAAACAGCCAGCUCUGGAAGUCGUGCGGAGUGAUGGCUCAGAAGUGAAUAGUGCUUGCUGCUCUUUCCAAGGACCCGAGAUGGGUUACCAGCACCCAUGUUCUCCAGAUCACAGUCUUCGCUAACUCCAGCUCCAGGGCUUCUAACCCCCUCUUCUGGCCUCCAUGGUACCUUUACUCAUGUGCCUGACAUCCUCCCACACAUACUUAAUGAAAAAUUAGAAUUAAAUCUUUAAUAAUAAUAAUAAAGAGUCCCGGAAGAGUUUCA
Molecule: long non-coding RNA, 481 nt
Filed under: Mus musculus (house mouse)
Lineage: Eukaryota; Metazoa; Chordata; Mammalia; Rodentia; Muridae
Description: predicted gene 27216, transcript variant 2 (Gm27216)
Source: RNAcentral